GAAGCUUUUGUCUCCCCAACUGGUUUUGACAACUGCUUUUCCUGGUGUUUUUCAGUUUUUAAAAUAUAUGCUUUGCUUCUGGAUAGAAGUGUUUCGGUGUUGUAGGAAGUGUUGGUUCUUGGUACUGUUUCUCACGCUGUUAAAUCAUGCCUCUGUCUUCAGAUCCUUAUCACCGUAAGAAUCUAUAAACGUACAGCGUUCGAGUUUCUGCAACCCAAUCUUCCAAAUCUCUGCUUUUUAUCUUAAGGAAGUGUGGUGUCUUUGACUUAUUUUUGCUGAUUUAUUAUACUUAACACCUUUUCAAAGUUUCGGAUUCUUGGAUAUUUAUUAAAUUUAAUGCUGUUUUUCCUGUCAGCUUUGCCACAGUCUUCAAAUUUCCUCCAGUUUGUUAUUGUCUCAUAAUUUUCUUGCCAAUUCUGCAUCUUCUGUUGCCAAUAUUUUUUUUUGGUGUAAUUUUUUAGUAUUCUUUAAUGCUUCCCCCAUGUUUUAUUAGUAUGUGUCUUCUGUGAAGCACUUUAAGCCAGAGAGCUGCAUAAAUGGAAAUAUAUUAUAUGCAGAAGAACUAAUGGAAAUUUAGUGUGCAUGUGGAUUGGGCUCUCAGCAAAUUCUUGAAAUACAUUUUACAGUUUUUGCACUCAAAAGAUAUUGAAUUACUUGGAAAUUGGUGUAAUUAAACAUUACACUUAAUACUCAAGAUGUUUUAAUCUCCAUUUUGUGGAGAUUAAGCAUUAUUUUUCAAGGCAGCUAGUAGUUUUGAAGGAGAGUCUGCCAGAAUGCUCUCUUCAUUUUUUUUAUAUUUUAAAAUGAAUUCUUUUCUGUUAACAGCUGGCUGUGUUCUUUAACUUUAUUUUGGAUGGGAUUUUCUUUUUCUUCAUUGCCAUCUAUAGAAAUUGAUGAAUUUUUUUAGAAAUCUUUCAUUCGUAAAGAGAAAUUUUACCUUCUGUGGAACUGGUUUCAUUUUAUCCUAUGGCUUCAUUUUUACUUCUUUAUACUUUAGUUGGGAUUUUACAUAAAUAGAGGUAAUUAAU
RNAcentral lists this long non-coding RNA (1028 nucleotides) under Calidris pugnax (ruff). RNAcentral's name for it is "lncRNA (ENSCPUG00000002907.1)". Lineage: Eukaryota; Metazoa; Chordata; Aves; Charadriiformes; Scolopacidae. The record is from RNAcentral.